GGCCUCAUAGCUCAGCUAGUAGAGCGUGCGUUGUGCGUAAGCGUAGGCGGCGUCCGUCCGUGGGUUCGAAUCCCACAGAAGCUA
Molecule: transfer RNA, 84 nt
Filed under: Echinostoma caproni
Lineage: Eukaryota; Metazoa; Platyhelminthes; Trematoda; Plagiorchiida; Echinostomatidae
Rfam family: tRNA
About the family: Transfer RNA (tRNA) molecules are approximately 80 nucleotides in length. Their secondary structure includes four short double-helical elements and three loops (D, anti-codon, and T loops).
Source: Rfam by way of RNAcentral